This 546-nucleotide long non-coding RNA is filed under the name Cyanistes caeruleus (blue tit). RNAcentral describes it as "lncRNA (ENSCCEG00000010477.1)". Lineage: Eukaryota; Metazoa; Chordata; Aves; Passeriformes; Paridae. The record is from RNAcentral.
CUGACUUCCCCCAGCUUAACCACAGAGGACAGAAAUGGCUUAUCUCCUUUGGUAUCCCCAAUUUGGCGGACAAGCACAUGAGGUUUUGCAAGGCUUAGAAAGCAAAAUCAUACUGCCAAGGGAUUUCCAGUUGGGUUUGCAAAGAUGAAUCUGGAAGGGCGAAGAGAAUAAACAGUGAUUGCUCAAUGAAACUGGGAAAUGGUUGUAAAGGACUGCAAAAUACAAACCAGUAAAAAUCACAAAUAAGUUAAUUCUGCAGAAGUUUUACUGGAAGCACAAACUGAGUUUUGGAAGCAUUCACAUAUGUCUAAUGAAUAACUCGCAGACAGUGCGAAAGGCCUACUUCAUCUGUCUGGGGUACCUACCAGCCCAUUUGAAGAACUUCCAAUUACUUCAUGCUUCAUCCUCACAGCUCUGCCUUUUCCCUAGGGACUGCUGGACUGUGCUUCACUACUUAAUUACAUUUCAAUUUGUUCUUGAUGGUCAGACAAAAGGAGGAUGCUUCUGUUGCCUUUUCCAAAACAUGCAAAAAAGCUAGAGAAAAUG